CCAGUAGCGGCGAGCGAACGGGGAGCAGCCCAGAGCCUGAAUCAGUGUGUGUGUUAGUGGAAGCGUCUGGAAAGGCGUGCGAUACAGGGUGACAGCCCCGUACACAAAAAUGCACAUACUGUGAGCUCGAUGAGUAGGGCGGGACACGUGGUAUCCUGUCUGAAUAUGGGGGGACCAUCCUCCAAGGCUAAAUACUCCUGACUGACCGAUAGUGAACCAGUACCGUGAGGGAAAGGCGAAAAGAACCCCGGCGAGGGGAGUGAAAAAGAACCUGAAACCGUGUACGUACAAGCAGUGGGAGCACGCUUAGGCGUGUGACUGCGUACCUUUUGUAUAAUGGGUCAGCGACUUAUAUUCUGUAGCAAGGUUAACCGAAUAGGGGAGCCGAAGGGAAACCGAGUCUUAACUGGGCGUUAAGUUGCAGGGUAUAGACCCGAAACCCGGUGAUCUAGCCAUGGGCAGGUUGAAGGUUGGGUAACACUAACUGGAGGACCGAACCGACUAAUGUUGAAAAAUUAGCGGAUGACUUGUGGCUGGGGGUGAAAGGCCAAUCAAACCGGGAGAUAGCUGGUUCUCCCCGAAAGCUAUUUAGGUAGCGCCUCGUGAAUUCAUCUCCGGGGGUAGAGCACUGUUUCGGCAAGGGGGUCAUCCCGACUUACCAACCCGAUGCAAACUGCGAAUACCGGAGAAUGUUAUCACGGGAGACACACGGCGGGUGCUAACGUCCGUCGUGAAGAGGGAAACAACCCAGACCGCCAGCUAAGGUCCCAAAGUCAUGGUUAAGUGGGAAACGAUGUGGGAAGGCCCAGACAGCCAGGAUGUUGGCUUAGAAGCAGCCAUCAUUUAAAGAAAGCGUAAUAGCUCACUGGUCGAGUCGGCCUGCGCGGAAGAUGUAACGGGGCUAAACCAUGCACCGAAGCUGCGGCAGCGACGCUUAUGCGUUGUUGGGUAGGGGAGCGUUCUGUAAGCCUGUGAAGGUGUGCUGUGAGGUAUGCUGGAGGUAUCAGAAGUGCGAAUGCUGACAUAAGUAACGAUAAAGCGGGUGAAAAGCCCGCUCGCCGGAAGACCAAGGGUUCCUGUCCAACGUUAAUCGGGGCAGGGUGAGUCGACCCCUAAGGCGAGGCCGAAAGGCGUAGUCGAUGGGAAACAGGUUAAUAUUCCUGUACUUGGUGUUACUGCGAAGGGGGGACGGAGAAGGCUAUGUUGGCCGGGCGACGGUUGUCCCGGUUUAAGCGUGUAGGCUGGUUUUCCAGGCAAAUCCGGAAAAUCAAGGCCGAGGCGUGAUGACGAGGCACUACGGUGCUGAAGCAACAAAUGCCCUGCUUCCAGGAAAAGCCUCUAAGCAUCAGGUAACAUCAAAUCGUACCCCAAACCGACACAGGUGGUCAGGUAGAGAAUACCAAGGCGCUUGAGAGAACUCGGGUGAAGGAACUAGGCAAAAUGGUGCCGUAACUUCGGGAGAAGGCACGCUGAUACGUAGGUGAAGCGACUUGCUCGUGGAGCUGAAAUCAGUCGAAGAUACCAGCUGGCUGCAACUGUUUAUUAAAAACACAGCACUGUGCAAACACGAAAGUGGACGUAUACGGUGUGACGCCUGCCCGGUGCCGGAAGGUUAAUUGAUGGGGUUAGCGCAAGCGAAGCUCUUGAUCGAAGCCCCGGUAAACGGCGGCCGUAACUAUAACGGUCCUAAGGUAGCGAAAUUCCUUGUCGGGUAAGUUCCGACCUGCACGAAUGGCGUAAUGAUGGCCAGGCUGUCUCCACCCGAGACUCAGUGAAAUUGAACUCGCUGUGAAGAUGCAGUGUACCCGCGGCAAGACGGAAAGACCCCGUGAACCUUUACUAUAGCUUGACACUGAACAUUGAGCCUUGAUGUGUAGGAUAGGUGGGAGGCUUUGAAGUGUGGACGCCAGUCUGCAUGGAGCCGACCUUGAAAUACCACCCUUUAAUGUUUGAUGUUCUAACGUGGACCCGUGAUCCGGGUUGCGGACAGUGUCUGGUGGGUAGUUUGACUGGGGCGGUCUCCUCCUAAAGAGUAACGGAGGAGCACGAAGGUUGGCUAAUCCUGGUCGGACAUCAGGAGGUUAGUGCAAUGGCAUAAGCCAGCUUGACUGCGAGCGUGACGGCGCGAGCAGGUGCGAAAGCAGGUCAUAGUGAUCCGGUGGUUCUGAAUGGAAGGGCCAUCGCUCAACGGAUAAAAGGUACUCCGGGGAUAACAGGCUGAUACCGCCCAAGAGUUCAUAUCGACGGCGGUGUUUGGCACCUCGAUGUCGGCUCAUCACAUCCUGGGGCUGAAGUAGGUCCCAAGGGUAUGGCUGUUCGCCAUUUAAAGUGGUACGCGAGCUGGGUUUAGAACGUCGUGAGACAGUUCGGUCCCUAUCUGCCGUGGGCGCUGGAGAACUGAGGGGGGCUGCUCCUAGUACGAGAGGACCGGAGUGGACGCAUCACUGGUGUUCGGGUUGUCAUGCCAAUGGCACUGCCCGGUAGCUAAAUGCGGAAGAGAUAAGUGCUGAAAGCAUCUAAGCACGAAACUUGCCCCGAGAUGAGUUCUCCCUGACCCUUUAAGGGUCCUGAAGGAACGUUGAAGACGACGACGUUGAUAGGCCGGGUGUGUAAGCGCAGCGAUGCGUUGAGCUAACCGGUACUAAUGAACCGUGAGGCUUAACCUUACAACGCCGAAG
RNAcentral lists this ribosomal RNA (2678 nucleotides) under Shigella flexneri. RNAcentral describes it as "bacterial LSU rRNA". It matches the Rfam family "Bacterial large subunit ribosomal RNA". The record is from RNAcentral. Lineage: Bacteria; Pseudomonadati; Pseudomonadota; Gammaproteobacteria; Enterobacterales; Enterobacteriaceae.